This 456-nucleotide ribosomal RNA is filed under the name Triticum aestivum (bread wheat). RNAcentral describes it as "partial small subunit ribosomal RNA". The record is from RNAcentral. Lineage: Eukaryota; Viridiplantae; Streptophyta; Magnoliopsida; Poales; Poaceae.
GGGGGGCCAGGGACAUGGAGCGGCAUGGCGCUGCGUGUGUCGCAGUGCGUCUUCGCCGCCGCGUCCGCCGCCGCCAUGUCCUCCGCCUUCGGCUCCCUCAACUACAGCGCCUACUUCUACCUGGAUACAGCGUUGACCCUGCAGUUUCUGUGGAGUAUGGGCUUUGCUUGCCGGGACAUCUUUGCUUUGAGGAACAAGAAGGAUCUUCACACCGCCCCGGAACUUAUACUGAUCUUUAAUAUCGGCGACUGGGUCCUGGCGAUUCUCAUGUUCUGGGCAUCCUGCGCCGCGGCCAGCGUGACGAUCUUCUUCAGGAAGGAUGUGAAGUUCUGCGCGGAGUACUGGCGGCUGCCCUGCACCCAGUUCGAGCUUUCGGUCGCCCUGGCGUUCAUCACGUGGUUGCUGCAGGCCGCGUCUUCUUUCUCCGGGUUCUGGCUUCUCGUUUCCUUGCUCUAG